This 549-nucleotide ribosomal RNA is filed under the name Triticum aestivum (bread wheat). Its description in RNAcentral is "partial small subunit ribosomal RNA". The record is from RNAcentral. Lineage: Eukaryota; Viridiplantae; Streptophyta; Magnoliopsida; Poales; Poaceae.
AUGAGUGAAAGCCUCUGCCCGAUCAUGUCGUGGAAUGUCCGCGGCCUCAACCAGCCGGCAAAAUGAGCGGCAGUCUGUGAGGUAGUCACCGCUAGCAAAGUAGCGAUCUUGUGCCUGCAGGAAACCAAGAUCGACGUUUGGACCCCAACCAUCGUCAGAGAAAUUGGGGGUACUGCACUGACUGAAUGCAUAGUUCUCCCCGCAAUCGGCUCCCGCGGCGGAGCGGCCAUCUCCUGAAAAAGCAACCUGGCCACCAUUGCCUCUCAUGCUAUAGGCAAAUUCGCCACCACUGCGAAGGCGACGCUCCUCCAGCAAUCCUCGAGCUUCUGGCUAACGACUAUCUACGGACCAACCGAAGACAGUAGAAAAACUGCUUUCCUCAACGAGUUAGCUAGAACGACACCCCCUCCUACUGAUCCAUGGCUCAUCAACAACGAUAUUAACCUCAUCUACGAGGCGAGAGACAAAAACAACCACCACAUCAACCGCAGGCUCAUGUGCAUGUUCAGACAGGCCAUUGACAACACCGGCCUAAAAGAAAUCAAAUGC